Long non-coding RNA from Zalophus californianus (California sea lion), 378 nucleotides. RefSeq lists it as uncharacterized. NCBI's taxonomy places the organism in Eukaryota, Metazoa, Chordata, Mammalia, Carnivora, Otariidae. The transcript is spliced from 3 exons. The record is from RefSeq and is a predicted model, not a curated record.
UCGCCAGGAUCUGGGCACACUUGAUUCGUGUCGGGAGAGCCAGCCCACCAGCCCACUGCAUGCUCCCUGCUGUUCUGCUGUUCUUCAGACUCAGUCCAUCCAGCCCCACGAGCCCCCCCCACCAUGUGACCUUAGCGGCUCUGAAACAUUUGCCAGUCUGACAGGUUUAAGCCAACAGAUACCUUGCAGCCCCAAUGUAACAACUCUGGCGAAACCUGCACUACGGUCGGCAUGGAGCAAAAACAGCCUCUCAACAACACAAGGAGGGUUGCCUGGGGUUCAUACCCAAGAGGGAGACAUUAGUGUGCUCAUUCACCAGCAAGACCAAAGGUUGGCAGACUGUGGACCUCAGCCUUUUAUAACGUUGCUUUUAUAAAU